Mus musculus (house mouse) is the source of this 65-nucleotide non-coding RNA. The record is from RefSeq and is marked provisional. Lineage: Eukaryota; Metazoa; Chordata; Mammalia; Rodentia; Muridae.
UGGGUAUAACAGUCUUGGCUGGAAUUUUUGGGCUCAGUCUUCCAGACAAGACUGUUAUACCCAGC